Long non-coding RNA from Ostrinia nubilalis (European corn borer), 971 nucleotides. RefSeq lists it as uncharacterized. The transcript is spliced from 5 exons. Lineage: Eukaryota; Metazoa; Arthropoda; Insecta; Lepidoptera; Crambidae. The record is from RefSeq and is a predicted model, not a curated record.
UCGUCCGUCUUGUUCGUUCUGUUUGUUAAAAACAAACGCGAUGCAAACAAAUGCGUUUACGCGUUUAUGUGUCUGUCUCCCGAGUUCUUUUUAUCAACAUUUCUCUGUGACCUGGCUUUCGUUCUUGGAUUGCUAUCUGCCUCAUCUGAUAACCAUGGCAUGUGUUGUAUGGACUUGAGACACAUCGUGCGAUUUGACUUUGUUGUUUUGAUAAACAUCCUCCAUAGGAUCCGAUUGAAAUCACAAUCAUGGCGCUCUGUAUUUCAUGUUCUUCUGUUAAAUAAAUGAAGAUUCCCGAUACUAUCAGUGUAGUGAAAUGGGCCCUGAAAUCAUUUCUAUUAUUCAAAAUGCCAUAGGCCAAAAGGUCCGGAGUCGUACUCAUAACCUAACAGACUAUGCCAGGCAGUUUAAUGAAGAAAAUAUUUCACCACAAGUAAAUUGCACCCGAAGAUGGCUUAGUGUGCUAUGAGUGUUGAGUAAGAGUUACACGAUCUCUUCCGCAGCAAGAAGUUGAAGCUUACAGGAAAGCAGAGAACCCUCGACAAUUAAUACUUGUGUAUGGUGCUUAGGCUCUCUUGUUGAGACCAGAAGGCAUUCAUUGCCCGAGGGACUGGAACAGGAUGAAAUAAUUGCAAGAUUUUUCCUAGAGAUUCCAUGUGGCUGGUGGCCAUGUAUGUUAUGCGUGCUGGGUUUCAGCAUGUAAAAAUGUGCAACGAGCCCGGAACUCCUCUCUGAAGGCAAACUUGUGCCAUAACUACUGGGCCAGCAAGAAUUAGCAACCAGGCCCUGUGUUAGCAAGGGUUGUGAAUAAAGCCUCGCCAUCAUUCUGGAAGAAAAAUAUGUACUCAUACAAUCACCAUUGUUUGGUACUUGUUGGGCUCGGCUAGUAUCCUGCUAUUGCUGCACCGGCCUCAUUUUUCGAAUAUUUUAAUAAGGGAAGAUGAUGAUUGAAUAAAAACUAAUGAAAAUAA